Molecule: long non-coding RNA, 501 nt
Organism: Hyla sarda
Lineage: Eukaryota; Metazoa; Chordata; Amphibia; Anura; Hylidae
Exons: 3
Source: RefSeq, a predicted model, not a curated record
AGGUCGCUGCUCUCUUACCUGAGAAGAAUGUCCGUGGCUGUGACUUUACAAAAACCCUUUGUUGCGUUAUCUGCAAUACAGUUAAAGGCAACGCCGCUGUAGUGAGGAGUGCAGGAAGGACGAGAAGCCUAUCAGUGCUGGUGCUUCCGGAGACUGGGAAAGCUGGAUGGCACACAGUAUGCCCAAACUCGUGAAGACUGUUGCUUUUAUUCUUCCAAAAGGUUUAGAUAGGAGGACCGGGCAACGCUAGAUCCCGAGCUGCAUUAUGCCUAGGAUCACACGGGGUGAAGAAAAAACAGAUUGUCAAUACUGAUGCCCCCUCGUUACGGCGAAAAACAUUCAGUUCCUGGAAACAAUUUGAUUCUGAACAUCAAGUCCUUUGAGGUUACGGUACUUAUCAUCUCGAGGGCCACUUCUUGAAGUGUUGUUAUAUAAGGGUCUAGAACUUUUUUCAUACCAUAGUUUUUUCUUUACAUUUUCUUUAAUUCUGUCUCUAGUAAA